AAGAUGCUAACUAUAGGGUAUAUUUUAGUAAAUACAUGAAAUUAUGAGGGAUAUUUUAGUAAAUGACCCUUUCUAUUCAGACUGUCACCUAAAAAACGGAAGAAACUUGUUAAUUGACCUAAGGCGGCGGUCUGAAUAGAUCUAAGUCAGCGGUCCAAACUGCCACCUAAAAAUGGAAGAAACACGUUAACUGACCUAAGGCGGCGGUUUGAACAGAUCUAAGUCGACGGUUUAGAUUGCCACUGAAAAAACAGAAGAAACGUGUUAACGUACCUAAGGCGGAUGUCUAAACAGAUCUAAGCCAGCGGUCUAGACUGCCACCUUUAUUAACUUUGAGUCGAACGGUUCUGAUAUACCGCCGCUUUAGGGAACGAUCGAACUGCAUUAGAUCGGCCUUCAAGGGUGGCGGUCUUUUAUGUCUAAGCCGGCGGUCUUGAGCUAAGCCGAUAGAGGUUUAGGGGCGGAUUGAAGACCGCCACUUUAGAUAAAAGCCGGUGGUCAUUAGGCGUAUUGGGUUUGUUACAAUGGAUAGUAACUACGCACAAAUCUCUCUAAAUAGUUGGGAUUAGGCUCCAUUGGAAUGAGACACUUGUCCAUGAUUGUUGAGACAUUUUCUCAACCAAUCAAGGUUUUCUCUCCCCUAUCUGAUAAAUCUCUCUCAAUGUUUUUAAUCUUUAAUCUGUUAUCUAUUUUCUUACAUGCACAGACAAAGCUUUCCUAGGUUUUUCUUUCUCUUCUUCGAUGGCCGCUCCACCUGCUAGGGCCCGAACCGAUUACAAUUACUUGAUAAAGCUUCUCCUGAUCGGCGACAGCGGUAAGAGAUUUGCUCUUUACGUUCGUCCCUUCCCAAUUCGACAUGCCAGAUUGAUGCCCAGAUGCAGCAGAGAACUGCUCGCAUAUCUACUUUAUUCUCAAAUUGCAAUAUUUUUGAGCAGGUUGUAGCUUAUUUAAUGGUUACAUCAGUAGUUGCAGUGGUGGGGAUACUUUACUUGGCUUACAAUGGCGACAGAGAUGUGAGUUGGAGUGAAGUCUGUACCUUUUAUGGAAAGUUUUGUAGUAGAGCAAAAGUGGCUUUGGUUCUCCAUGCUUAUCAGCAAUACUGCAUAGCCACAAUAUCUCGGAUGGUCGGUGUGUGGAAUGCUGAUAUCAUACAACAUUUUACAGAAACAGCAUCAGGGUCAACUACAAUCAGGAGUUUUGAUCAGGAAUCGAGAUUCAUGGAAACAAAUCUCGAGCUAAUUAAUGCUUAUCAGCAACCCAAUCUCUAUCAUAUUGGUGCAAUGUCGUGGCCAUGCUUCCGCUUGGAUAUAUUGUCAUUAGUGAUGUUUGCUUUCGCUUUGGUUCUUUUGAUCACCUUACCAGGAGUAACUAAUCCAAGGUUAGCAGUGAUGUAUGGACGUACUUUGAACAUGCUACAAGAAGAUGUCAUAUUUACCCUAAGCAACCUUGAGAAUAAAAUUGUAUAUGUAGAGAGAAUACUUCAAUACGCAUGCAUUCCCCAUGAACCUCCUCCCAUAAUAGAAGCAAAUAGACCUGAUCCUAACUGGCCAUCCUGUGGAGAAGUUGAGAUUCAGAAUUUACAGGUUCGCUAUGCCCCACACUUGGCCCAUGUUUUGUGUGGUAUUACAUGCACCUUCAAUGGUGGAGCAAAGAUUGGGAUUGUUGGGAGAACAGCUGUGGUCAAAUUCUAAUCGAUGGUAUUGACAUUAGAACUAUAGGGCUGCAGGAUCCGAGGUCCAGAUUAAGUAUCAUUCCACAAGACCCCACUAUGUUCAAGACCCUGCGAAGCAACCUUGAUCCACUUGUUGAGUACACAGAUCAACAAAUAUGGGAGGCUCUAGACAAGUGUCAACUGGGAGAAGAAAUUAGGAAGAAAGAGGAAAAGCUUGAUUCAGAAGUAGUUGAGAAUGGUGAAAAUUGGAGCCUUGGUCAGCGGCAGCUGGUCUGCUUAGGACGGGCUUUACUAAAAAAGAGUAAAAUUCUUGUGCAUGACAAAGCAACAACUUCAUUAGAUACAGCAACUGAUAGCCUGAUCCAGAGAACAAUAAGAGAUCAAUUUUCAGGGUUAACAAUCAUCAGUGUAGCUCAUCGAAUAGAUUCUGUCCUUGAUAGUGACAUGAUCUUGCUACUUGAUCAAGGUCUUAUUGUGGAGUAUGACCACCCAAGAAAAUUGUUAGAAAACAAAUCUUCAGCAUUCACAAAACUUGUAGCAGAGUAUACCUUAAGGUCAAUCUAGGAAGGAAUAUUAUGAAAUAGGCUUAUCUCAAACAAGAUAGGUAAUUGGGUUGAUAAGGAAGACCUGUUAGAGUUGAUAGUCUGCAGGAGAGGUCAUCUCUUUAUGUCUGUCCCUCUGAAUGGCAUAUCUUAAGGCAUGGCCAGUGUCAAAUGUUACAAUCAUGGAUCAUUAAACACUAGUCAUUACUUGCUACUUGGAACUGGUGUCAUCCAAGUCAAUGGUCUCAUGUAACCAAUCUGAUUUGUAGGGAACAAGUGCAAAUUUACAAGGAUUUUAGGGUCAAAUGUGAUGCUAGCAAGUUAGGAGUGUUUUUAGUAAGUAGACGUUAUAUGAUAGUUAGUUUGGGAGUUUAAUCAAUGUAAAAUGGUUGUGUAUUUGCAGAUGAUUAACUAUUUAGCAGUUUUAAUGACAAGCACAUAGAGAACAUUCACAGUUCA
This is an RNA transcript of Nelumbo nucifera (sacred lotus), 2673 nucleotides long. It is a transcript of the gene named phosphoserine phosphatase, chloroplastic, with no coding region annotated. Lineage: Eukaryota; Viridiplantae; Streptophyta; Magnoliopsida; Proteales; Nelumbonaceae. The record is from RefSeq and is a predicted model, not a curated record.